GAGGCGGUAGCUCAGUGGUAGAGCGGGCGAUUGCAGCUUAUGCGACUCUCGUCAGGUCAUGUGUUCAAACCACAUUCGCCUCU
This 83-nucleotide transfer RNA is filed under the name Tilletia controversa (dwarf bunt fungus). It matches the Rfam family "tRNA". Rfam says of the family: Transfer RNA (tRNA) molecules are approximately 80 nucleotides in length. Their secondary structure includes four short double-helical elements and three loops (D, anti-codon, and T loops). Further hydrogen bonds mediate the characteristic L-shaped molecular structure. tRNAs have two regions of fundamental functional importance: the anti-codon, which is responsible for specific mRNA codon recognition, and the 3' end, to which the tRNAs corresponding amino acid is attached (by aminoacyl-tRNA synthetases). tRNAs cope with the degeneracy of the genetic code in two manners: having more than one tRNA (with a specific anti-codon) for a particular amino acid; and 'wobble' base-pairing, i.e. permitting non-standard base-pairing at the 3rd anti-codon position. Lineage: Eukaryota; Fungi; Basidiomycota; Exobasidiomycetes; Tilletiales; Tilletiaceae. The record is from Rfam by way of RNAcentral.